CAAAAGUGGGGCGCAUCGCCGGCCCGUCUGCCCAGGCGGAGCUUGAGCGCACGUGUUGGGACCCGAAAGAUGGUGAACUAUGCCUGAGCAGGACGAAGCCAGAGGAAACUCUGGUGGAAGUCCGCAGCGAUUCUGACGUGCAAAUCGAUCGUCAAACUUGGGUAUAGGGGCGAAAGACUAAUCGAACCAUCUAGUAGCUGGUUCCCUCCGAAGUUUCCCUCAGGAUAGCUGGCGCUCGUCACAAGCAGUUUUAUCCGGUAAAGCGAAUGAUUAGAGGCCUUGGGGACGAAACGCCCUCAACCUAUUCUCAAACUUUAAAUGGGUAAGCAGCGGGACUCGCUCGAUUGGAGUCCUGCGACUACCUGUUUUGGCAGUGCCAAGUGGGCCACUUUUG
This 394-nucleotide ribosomal RNA is filed under the name Puncturella pelex. RNAcentral's name for it is "partial large subunit ribosomal RNA". It matches the Rfam family "Eukaryotic large subunit ribosomal RNA", at positions 743 to 1139 of the family's 3401-position model. The record is from RNAcentral. Lineage: Eukaryota; Metazoa; Mollusca; Gastropoda; Lepetellida; Fissurellidae.